This 65-nucleotide transfer RNA is filed under the name Aphrocallistes vastus (cloud sponge). Its description in RNAcentral is "tRNA-Gly". It matches the Rfam family "tRNA". Rfam says of the family: Transfer RNA (tRNA) molecules are approximately 80 nucleotides in length. Their secondary structure includes four short double-helical elements and three loops (D, anti-codon, and T loops). The record is from RNAcentral. Lineage: Eukaryota; Metazoa; Porifera; Hexactinellida; Sceptrulophora; Aphrocallistidae.
UGAAACAUAAUUUAAAAUAAAAUACUUGACUUCCAAUCAAAAAAUGCAAAGACAUGCUGUUUCCA